GUGUCAGCAGCCGCGGUAAUACGUAGGGGGCAAGCGUUAUCCGGAAUCAUUGGGCGUAAAGCGCGUGUAGGCGGUUCUGUAAGUCCGCUCUGAAAGCCCAGGGCUCAACCCUGGGAGGCGGGUGGAUACUACAGAACUGGAGUACGGAAGAGGAGAUUGGAAUUCCUGGUGUAGCGGUGAAAUGCGCAGAUAUCAGGAGGAACACCAACAGCGAAGGCAGAUCUCUGGGACGUUACUGACGCUGAGACGCGAAAGCGUGGGGAGCAAACAGGAUUAGAAACCCCUGUAGUCC
Molecule: ribosomal RNA, 292 nt
Filed under: uncultured bacterium
Lineage: Bacteria
Description: partial 16S ribosomal RNA
Rfam family: Bacterial small subunit ribosomal RNA
Source: RNAcentral